AACGAACGCUGGCGGCAGGCCUAAUACAUGCAAGUCGAACGGAUGUAGCAAUACAUUAGUGGCGCACGGGUGCCUAACGCGUGGGAACAUACCCUUGAGUAAGGAAUAAUGUCUGGAAACGGACACUAAUACCUUAUAAUGACUUCGGUCCAAAGGAUUUAUCGCUCAAGGAUUGGCCCGCGUCUGAUUAGCUAGUUGGU
This 200-nucleotide ribosomal RNA is filed under the name uncultured bacterium. RNAcentral's name for it is "partial 16S ribosomal RNA". It matches the Rfam family "Bacterial small subunit ribosomal RNA", at positions 29 to 253 of the family's 1533-position model. The record is from RNAcentral.